Molecule: ribosomal RNA, 482 nt
Filed under: uncultured bacterium
Lineage: Bacteria
Description: partial 16S ribosomal RNA
Rfam family: Bacterial small subunit ribosomal RNA
Source: RNAcentral
GACGAACGCUGGCGGCGUGCCUAACACAUGCAAGUCGAACGGAACUGUUUUGAAAGAUUUCUUCGGAAUGAAUUCGAUCUAGUUUAGUGGCGGACGGGUGAGUAACGCGUGAGUAACCUGCCUUCAAGAGGGGAAUAACAUUCUGAAAAGAAUGCUAAUACCGCAUGACAUAUCGGAACCACCUGGUUUUGAUAUCAAAGAUUUUAUCGCUUGCAGAUGGACUCGCGUCCGAUUAGUUAGUUGGUGAGGUAACGGCUCACCAAGACCGCGAUCGGUAGCCGGACUGAGAGGUUGCACGGCCACCUUGGGACUGAGACACGGCCCGGGCUCCUACGGGAGGCCGCAGUGGGGGUGAUUGCGCAAUGGGAGCAACCCUGACGCAGCCACGCCGCGUGAAGGAUGCCGGUUUUCGGAUUGGAAACUUCUUUUAUUAAGGACGAAAAAUGACGGUACUUAAUGAAUAAGCCCCGGCUAACUACGUG